GACGAACGCUGGCGGCGUGCUUAACACAUGCAAGUCGAACGGUGAAGCCUUCGGGUGGAUCAGUGGCGAACGGGUGAGUAACACGUGAGCAAUCUGCCCUUGACUCUGGGAUAACUUCGGGAAACCGGAGCUAAUACCGGAUAUGACAUCUGGCCGCAUGGUCUGGGUGUGGAAAGAUUUAUCGGUCAGGGAUGAGCUCGCGGCCUAUCAGCUUGUUGGUGGGAAUGGCC
RNAcentral lists this ribosomal RNA (230 nucleotides) under uncultured bacterium. RNAcentral describes it as "partial 16S ribosomal RNA". It matches the Rfam family "Bacterial small subunit ribosomal RNA", at positions 28 to 265 of the family's 1533-position model. The record is from RNAcentral.